AGCAGCCGCGGUAAUUCCAGCUCCAAUAGCGUAUAUUAAAGUUGUUGCAGUUAAAAAGCUCGUAGUUGAAUUUCGGGGUUAGUAGGUUGGUCAUGCCUCUGGUAUGUACUGGUCUCACUGAUUCCUCCUUCCUGAUGAGCCGUAAUGCCAUUAAUUUGGUGUUGCGGGGAAUUUGGACUGUUACCUUGAAAAAAUUGAGUGUUUAAAGCAAGCUCACGCUUGAAUACAUUAGCAUGGAAUAAUGAAAUAGGACAUUGUAUUCUAUUUUGUUGGUUUCUAGGAUCGAUGUAAUGAUUAGUAGGGAUAGUUGGGGCAUUAGUAUUCAAUUGUCAGAGGUGAAAUUCUUAGGAUUUAUUGAAGACUAACUACUGCGAAAGCAUUUUGCCAAGGAUGUUUUCAUUAAUCAAGAACGAAGUUAGGGGAUCGAAGACGAUCAGAUACCGUGUAGUCUUAACCAUAAACUAUGCCGACUAGGGAUCGGAUGAUGUUAAUUUUUAUGACUCU
This 504-nucleotide ribosomal RNA is filed under the name uncultured Glomus. Its description in RNAcentral is "SSU rRNA". It matches the Rfam family "Eukaryotic small subunit ribosomal RNA", at positions 569 to 1078 of the family's 1831-position model. The record is from RNAcentral. Lineage: Eukaryota; Fungi; Glomeromycota; Glomeromycetes; Glomerales; Glomeraceae.